RNAcentral lists this transfer RNA (60 nucleotides) under Melanophidium wynaudense (Wayanad shieldtail). RNAcentral describes it as "tRNA-His". Lineage: Eukaryota; Metazoa; Chordata; Lepidosauria; Squamata; Uropeltidae. The record is from RNAcentral.
GUGUGUGUAAUUUAAAUAAAAUAUCAAGUUGUGACCUUGAAAAUAGAGCCCCUCUCAUAC